This 379-nucleotide ribosomal RNA is filed under the name uncultured Desulfobulbus sp. RNAcentral describes it as "bacterial SSU rRNA". It matches the Rfam family "Bacterial small subunit ribosomal RNA", at positions 1006 to 1382 of the family's 1533-position model. The record is from RNAcentral. Lineage: Bacteria; Pseudomonadati; Thermodesulfobacteriota; Desulfobulbia; Desulfobulbales; Desulfobulbaceae.
UGGAGUUGGUGCCUUCGGGAACGUCUGACACAGGUGCUGCAUGGCUGUCGUCAGCUCGUGUCGUGAGAUGUUGGGUUAAGUCCCGUAACGAGCGCAACCCUUGUCCUUAGUUACCAGCACGUUAUGGUGGGCACUCUAAGGAGACUGCCGGUGCAAAACCGGAGGAAGGUGGGGAGUGACGUCAAGUCAUCAUGGCCCUUACGGCCUGGGCUACACACGUGCUACAAUGGUCGGUACAAAGGGCAGCGACACUGCGAGGUGAAGCCAAUCCCGUAAAAUCGGUCUCAGUCCGGAUUGGAGUCUGCAACUCGACUCCAUGAAGUUGGAAUCGCUAGUAAUCGUGGAUCAGCAUGCCACGGUGAAUACGUUCCCGGGCCUU